This 432-nucleotide ribosomal RNA is filed under the name uncultured bacterium. RNAcentral's name for it is "partial 16S ribosomal RNA". It matches the Rfam family "Bacterial small subunit ribosomal RNA", at positions 338 to 795 of the family's 1533-position model. The record is from RNAcentral.
CCUACGGGAGGCAGCAGUGGGGAAUUGUUCACAAUGGGCGCAAGCCUGAUGACGCAACGCCGCGUGGAGGAUGAAGGUCUUCGGAUCGUAAACUCCUGUUGCUCGGGACGCGGUACCGGGUGAGGAAGCCCCGGCUAACUCUGUGCCAGCAGCCGCGGUAAUACAGAGGGGGCAAGCGUUGUUCGGAAUUACUGGGCGUAAAGGGCGCGUAGGCGGCCUGUUAAGUCGAACGUGAAAUCCCCGGGCUCAACCCGGGAACUGCGUCCGAUACUGGCAGGCUUGAAUCCGGGAGAGGGAUGUGGAAUUCCAGGUGUAGCGGUGAAAUGCGUAGAUAUCUGGAGGAACACCGGUGGCGAAGGCGGCAUCCUGGACCGGAUUGACGCUGAGGCGCGAAAGCCAGGGGAGCAAACGGGAUUAGAUACCCUUGUAGUC